GUGCAGCAGGCGCGAAAACUUCACACUGUGCGAAAGCACGAUGAGGGAAUCCCAAGUGCUUGCACGUAAGUGUAAGCUGUUUCUCUGUUUAAAACGCAGAGAGAGUAAGGGCUGGGUAAGACGGGUGCCAGCCGCCGCGGUAAUACCUGCAGCUCAAGUGGUGACCGUUAUUAUUGGGCCUAAAACGUCCGUAGCCGGUUUAAUAAAUGCCUGGGUAAAUCGUGUAGCUUAACUAUACGAAUUCCGGGUAGACUGUUAAACUCGAGACCGGGAGAAGUUAGAGGUACUCCUGGGGUAGAGGUGAAAUUCUGUAAUCCUAGGGGGACCACCAGUGGCGAAGGCGUCUAACUAGAACGGGUCUGACGGUGAGGGACGAAGCCCUGGGGCGCAAAACGGGGAUUAGAUACCCGGGUAGU
This 416-nucleotide ribosomal RNA is filed under the name uncultured microorganism. RNAcentral's name for it is "bacterial SSU rRNA". It matches the Rfam family "Archaeal small subunit ribosomal RNA", at positions 330 to 745 of the family's 1478-position model. The record is from RNAcentral.